UACGGGGGGGGCAAGCGUUGUUCGGAAUUACUGGGCGUAAAGGGCUCGUAGGUGGCCAACUAAGUCAGACGUGAAAUCCCUCGGCUUAACCGGGGAACUGCGUCUGAUACUGGAUGGCUUGAGUUUGGGAGAGGGAUGCGGAAUUCCAGGUGUAGCGGUGAAAUGCGUAGAGAUGUGGAGGAACACCAGUGGCGAAGGCGACUCUUUGGCCUGUAACUGACGCUGAGGCGCGAAAGCGUGGGGAGCAAACAGG
RNAcentral lists this ribosomal RNA (253 nucleotides) under uncultured bacterium. Its description in RNAcentral is "partial 16S ribosomal RNA". It matches the Rfam family "Bacterial small subunit ribosomal RNA", at positions 524 to 776 of the family's 1533-position model. The record is from RNAcentral.